GAACCUGGUUCAUAUGUUGGUGAAGUUGUCAAAGUAAUGGGGAAAAAUAAGGUGUUAGUUAAGGUUCACCCAGAAGGAAAAUAUGUUGUUGAUAUUGAUAAAAAUAUUGAUAUCACUAAGAUCACCCCAUCAACAAGGGUUGCCCUCCGUAAUGACAGCUAUGUCCUUCACUUGAUCUUGCCAAGCAAAGUGGAUCCAUUGGUCAACCUUAUGAAAGUUGAAAAGGUUCCAGAUUCUACAUAUGAUAUGAUCGGUGGUCUUGACCAACAAAUUAAGGAGAUAAAGGAGGUCAUUGAACUUCCAAUUAAACAUCCUGAAUUGUUUGA
This 326-nucleotide unclassified non-coding RNA is filed under the name Hevea brasiliensis (rubber tree). Lineage: Eukaryota; Viridiplantae; Streptophyta; Magnoliopsida; Malpighiales; Euphorbiaceae. The record is from RNAcentral.